RNAcentral lists this long non-coding RNA (1054 nucleotides) under Scleropages formosus (Asian bonytongue). RNAcentral describes it as "lncRNA (ENSSFOG00015031791.1)". The record is from RNAcentral. Lineage: Eukaryota; Metazoa; Chordata; Actinopteri; Osteoglossiformes; Osteoglossidae.
UGCAAACAUAUGAGCAAAGGCUUUCUAGCAGGGAAAGUGUGUGCCUGUGUAAACUGGAAAAAUAUGCAUCACUGUACUUUAUACAGUUUAUCCAUGUUCCACUUACUCUGCUUUUAUUAGCAAAAUCUGUUUUUGAGUAAAGUAACCGAUGGUGGCAGGAGCAGCGGUUGAGAUACGCCCGUUGCCUUGCUCCCGCUGAUCACAGCUCCCACGUUCACAAGUGAAACAGCAGCUAUGAGAGGGAAAAAAAACGCGAGGAGAGCUGGGUGUGGCUAUGCGCUCAAACAUUUGUGACACUUCUUUACUGUAAGGACAGUGUGGCUGAACCGCUGAGGAGCACAGAGCAGACUGGUCACAUAUUGUGGAUUGUAAAAUGUUCGGUAACAAUCAAGGAAAUUAUCCUCCGGGGAAUUAUCCUCCGGGGAAUUAUUCAGGCCCACAGCAGCCCCAGGUCUGUCCUCCACAGCAGCCCCAGGUCUGUCCUCCACAACAUCCCCCAGGCUGUGGCCCCUCCUGCAACUCUGGAGAAGGGCAUGGGCAUGGGCAUGGUCACGGUCACGAUCAUGGUCACGGACACGGUCACGGUCACGAUCAUGGUCACGGACACGGUCAUGGUCACGGUCAUGGGCAUGGUCAUGGGCAUGGUCAUGGUCAUGGGCAUGGUUCUCACCAUGGCCAUAAGCAUGGACACUGCUGAUGAAAACAGCAAGCAUUGUGGACAUGGCUCAAGUGAAAGCAAGAGUGAACCGCUGAAGACGUACAAGAGUGAUAUACACCAGCACCAUCCAUAACCAACCCUGUUCUUUUCAUUAUAACUAAUUUUCUUCUGAUAUUGUUGUUUUUUCAAUAUACAAUUUAUGAAGCCUGUUUUGUGCAUUAAGACUUGCUUUAAAAUCAUCAGUAAUAUCAGCGUUAAGUAUGCUGUUUGUAUUGACUACAGGGUAAACGAGGUCAACAGAUCAACAGAUUCUAAAUGGCUUUGAGGUUUAUACUUCAUUCAAGAAAAUUAACUGUUCAGGAUCAAUAAAAUGUUGUGCAGAAAUUGAACUGUGCA